Long non-coding RNA from Erpetoichthys calabaricus (reedfish), 116 nucleotides. RefSeq lists it as uncharacterized. The record is from RefSeq and is a predicted model, not a curated record. The transcript has 3 exons. Lineage: Eukaryota; Metazoa; Chordata; Cladistia; Polypteriformes; Polypteridae.
CAGUUGUUUCCCUGUGGUCAGUCACAGGUUAAGGCGCUAUAUACGGUAGGUGUCCAGUUGUUUCCCUGUGGUCAGUCACAGGUUAAGGCGCUAUAUACGGUAGGUGUCCAGUUUUU